GGCAAGGUAGCUCAAUUGGUAGAGCAAUAUAAGAAUGUAAGUCAUGUCUGUGGCUUCUACAGCAAUUUUUAUUCGAUAUUAAGACAAACAUUUGAUGUCAGUUCGAUUCUGACCCUCGUCU
RNAcentral lists this transfer RNA (121 nucleotides) under Caudoviricetes sp. RNAcentral's name for it is "tRNA-His". It matches the Rfam family "tRNA". Rfam says of the family: Transfer RNA (tRNA) molecules are approximately 80 nucleotides in length. Their secondary structure includes four short double-helical elements and three loops (D, anti-codon, and T loops). Further hydrogen bonds mediate the characteristic L-shaped molecular structure. tRNAs have two regions of fundamental functional importance: the anti-codon, which is responsible for specific mRNA codon recognition, and the 3' end, to which the tRNAs corresponding amino acid is attached (by aminoacyl-tRNA synthetases). tRNAs cope with the degeneracy of the genetic code in two manners: having more than one tRNA (with a specific anti-codon) for a particular amino acid; and 'wobble' base-pairing, i.e. permitting non-standard base-pairing at the 3rd anti-codon position. Lineage: Duplodnaviria; Heunggongvirae; Uroviricota; Caudoviricetes. The record is from RNAcentral.